Haemorhous mexicanus (house finch) is the source of this 2828-nucleotide long non-coding RNA. RefSeq lists it as uncharacterized. Lineage: Eukaryota; Metazoa; Chordata; Aves; Passeriformes; Fringillidae. The transcript is spliced from 2 exons. The record is from RefSeq and is a predicted model, not a curated record.
AGGCGGGGUAAACAGCCCGGGCCACAGGGGGGGCUCGCCGGGAAGGCUGUGCUGAGGGGUGAAACACAACCAUCGGGGCUCUUCUACUCGUCCAGUACACAACAAGCUAAAACCUGUGCCGCUCUUGUGUGCGGGCAAGGGCUUGCGUCAGGCGUUUCUGGCUACUGAUAAACAAAGAAUGAGGGGAGCAAAAUAUAUAAGGACCUCCUGAUCUGCUUAAAUCCUCAUUUGGAAUCAAAUGUGUAGCGACAAGGGAGAGAGCUGAGCUUUGUCUCCAUUUUACAUAAUUCUGCAGAAUUUAUCAGUUUGGCUUCUAGGCGGUUGCAGUAAAGGCAAGAGAUUAUCCCAAGGGCUAUUUGAAGAAGACAUCUGGAAGAUGAACAUACACCAUUAGUUUUCCAGUACAGAAAGAGACUGCAGCUCUGUGACCCUCCUUUGUGCCUGAUUUGUGCACUGCUGGAUCAGUUGACUUCACACAAAAAGCCAGCAGGCUUACAGCUGCACCAGGCUGCUUCUUUUGAUGCAUUUUGAUAAUUACAGUAUGAUCCUUUUAAUAGCAUUUUCCUGACUUGUCACCUGAAGUCCCUGAGUCCCAGCCCCUACCCCUUCCCUUUGUGAACCACCUUUGUUACACCCAGGGUCUGUUAUUAAUGACCUCUCUGGGAUGAAUUUCUCAUUUUCAUGCUUAGUCACCGACAUCUACUUCCCCGGAACAACACAGCACGUGAUGGUGCUGACAUCAUGGCUUAUGUGACUGCCCCCAUAGUCACUCCUCAAGCUGCAACAGCACACAGAGUUCCAAAAAUGGGAAAGUUAUUUCUGCUACAUGCAGUGAUGAGAAAGGCUACCAUGUAGCUGAAGGUUUGGCAAGGGCACUUGCUUCUCAGUAUCACUUGCUUCUCUCUUGUGUUCCAAAGGUGCACAUUUCUGUCCUGUGCAGAGGCAGCGUCUGUGAGAAAAACCAGGAUGAUGCACAGAUGGGAAAAUCUGCAGUACAGGGAGGACUUUGAGCAAGGAAAGACAAUGCUGGUGAUUAUCCCUAUGGACCAUAACCUUUGCCUGCUGAGGAAGAUACAUUCAGAUCUGCCAUCUAACAUUUAAGAGUGCUAAUUUCAUGAUGAGUUACAGAGCUUUAACAGGUGCCAUGGGAACAGGCAGUUCUGUUCCUGUCAACACCAGGACUCUCCUGUCUGCAGAGUGAGCUGGUACACAAAGCUAAGCCAGCAAAAGGUAGUGCUGAAAAAGGCAGCAAGCCGACUUCUGAAGGUUUAACUCCAUGAAUACCAGCUUCUAGUGGGAGAAAAACAAGGGUUAGUACUGAAUAAAGAGAGGAAGGGGCAGGAGUGCCCGUUUAAGGAAGAGCUGCUCAUUUUAGUGGUGCAAAACUGCAGUUUAAAAAGCCUCAUCCUUGUAACUGCCAAGCAGUAAUCUCUCUGCAUGGGAACACUGGAUGAAAAGCAUCAAAAGUCAGGAGACAACAAUCCCUCUUCAGGACAUUCCUGUAUCCUAAAAUGUCCUGUGUCCUAAGUCUGUUAGCAGCAAAAAGGUCACAUACUCUUCUCCUCUCAUGGAUUUCUCACGAGGGUCAUGAGCAAGCAUAUCUGUUUCCUACCCUCCAAGUUUUAUGUAAGCAGGCAGGACUAUUUCUCCCUCUGGCUUGAGGUUGUCUGAAGACCACCUAGGCCUUGUUAAUAUUAACGCCACCCAGUAGUGUCCACAUUCAUACAUUCCUGCAGUUCUGGUUGUUGAGAGCCACACAAACAGGCUAAAAUCCUUGCAGUUUAUUAAUCAAGGUGACUAAGUAAAUAUAGUUACUAUUUAGAAGUGAGAGAGCCAUGAGGCAGCAGAAGAUGAAAAUUGAAACAAAGUCUCAGCCAGAUUCCAUUAAUGUCUGCUUGUGGAAAACAGUCGCUAAGGAAUAACUCUUUGCUGUCUCUUCCAAAAAAAAAAAAAAAAAAAAAAAAAAAAAAAAAAAAAAAAGUAAUCAAAUGAAACUAAUGAAGUCCAAGUCAAAACUGUAAAUAGAGGUGGUUCUUCACCAAGUGAUAGUAGAACUCUAGCAUAAGUUGCUGUAGGGUGCUCUGGGUACAAGAGUUUAUAUGGCCUUACCCUACAGACAGUUUUAAACCAGAGAGGAGGAGGAAACAGAGAAAAAAAGGAGCAAGAGAAGAAAACAGAGACUCUGGCUAGAGCUGCUGAAGACCCUCUACAAAACCUGCUGUCCCACAGAUGCACAGUGAAGCUGCUGUAUAAGCCACGUAGCCAGGGACUCAGCACUUUGCCCAGUUCUACAAGACUUCUUGAAUGAGAGCAGAAAUGUAGCUUGCAUCCUCUCCUGCUACUGGGGCCUCCCACCCCUCCUCAUCUCUUGCUGGGAGGGUAUCUCCUGGAAGCUCAGAAGCCUUUUCUUCAGGCUAGGUUGAAUUCAUGUUACAAGGCUGGCCUGAUCAUCCUCUGCUGCUCUGGGCUGUGCUGCUGAGAGGAAGGAAAAUUAACUCCCUGUCUGGUGAAAAAUGCUCUCCAUGACCCUAGCUCUGCUGUCUGACUGAAAUAUGGACAUGAAGCACUGGCUCUGGAAGGCAGCUUCAUGGAAGAGGAGAAGAGUGACUCAGGCAAAAUACUGAUGGGCUCUGCACUCAAAGUGUAACACACUGUGACCAAACUGUAUACACAGGGAAAUUUGAAGUGUUCCUGACAGCUGCACUGGGGCUUCAGUUCUAUUUUGGAUUGUUGUUUGUUUGGUUUUUUUUCCAAAGCUAGAACAAAAUAGGAAGAAAAACAAAAUAAAGAAGAGCAUUUAAAAAAAAUCAUUCCCUAUUUAAAGAAAA